RNAcentral lists this ribosomal RNA (253 nucleotides) under uncultured bacterium. Its description in RNAcentral is "partial 16S ribosomal RNA". It matches the Rfam family "Bacterial small subunit ribosomal RNA", at positions 524 to 776 of the family's 1533-position model. The record is from RNAcentral.
UACGUAGGGGGCUAGCGUUGUCCGGAUUUACUGGGCGUAAAGGGCGCGUAGGCGGCGCAACAAGUCACUUGUGAAAUCUCCGGGCUUAACCCGGAGCGGUCAAGUGAUACUGUCGUGCUAGAGUGCGGAAGGGGCUACUGGAAUUCUCGGUGUAGCGGUGAAAUGCGUAGAUAUCAGGAGGAACACCCGGGGCGAAGGCGGUUCUCUGGGACGGUACUGACGCUGAGACGCGAAAGCGUGGGGAGCGAACAGG